Molecule: long non-coding RNA, 508 nt
Filed under: Mus pahari (shrew mouse)
Lineage: Eukaryota; Metazoa; Chordata; Mammalia; Rodentia; Muridae
Description: lncRNA (MGP_PahariEiJ_G0004441.1)
Source: RNAcentral
ACUCUCUGUACUCUAUCAGCCUCCCAAGUCACAUGCUGCUAGGGCAGAUACACAAACAUCUGUGAAAGAGGAGAUGACUGGACUCUCAGGUUUAAGGAUACACACACAGAGUCUUUCUCUACAACAACAGGCAAUCCUAGUGCCUCAGCCUCCCAAGUGCUUCCAGUACUGGUGUGAGCCACCACACCAGACUUGAUCAACAUUGGGUUUGCGUGUGAAGUGUCAAGCUUACAAUACAAUCUCCAACUCCUAUUCGGUCUAUGCCAUAAAACAAGCUUCAGUGGCCGCUCUCCAGGCUCACAGCAGCAUGGGAUGAGAGAAUCCAAAUCGAGAAGCACUGACACCAGGAGAUAACAACAGCCUCAUUACAAGGAAGAAACGCAAAACCUAAAGGAAGCAACCCCAAGCUGGGCAUGCUCACACUGUACCUGGGAAGCUUGCGAACCCAGGGCCAGCCCGGGCUAUGUAACAAACCCUGUCUCAAAAUGACAAUAAAGCAAUCCUCUAG